This 1834-nucleotide non-coding RNA is filed under the name Acinetobacter sp. The record is from RNAcentral. Lineage: Bacteria; Pseudomonadati; Pseudomonadota; Gammaproteobacteria; Moraxellales; Moraxellaceae.
GUGUGCCGCAGCAAGCGGCGUAAGAGAUGAGGGUAUGGCCCCUCGCUAUCGGCUUGCAGGAGCAGGUAGCAAACCACCAUAAGCGGCUUGGAUCAAAAGUCCCGGUCGUGAGCGUUAUGGAAAAGGCAUCGUAGAGAUGUCAGGUAAGAAUUAGGAAGGCGAACAACAGUGAACUGCCGUUCAAGUGUCGAAAGUACUCAAAUGACAUCAAAACCGGGGAUGGAAGUUACCCCGCGAUUAGUUUGGCCGUUACCUGCUUACGGGCCAUUCGGUGUCCGGCGUAGAGGCAGCGCGAUCCUAAUUCAGGCUCUUACGUUGAACUGCGGGAACCUUCGGUGGCGAUGUCAAGCGAAAGGCACAAGCUCAAAAGGCAAGGCUGAUAAUAGCAAUGCGUCACCAAGGGGCGGAGCAACUCGUAGUAGUGUUGAAGUUACUGUAAUGGUAAUGGAGCGAAGGGGUUGCAUUAUCCAGGUCUACGGAUUUGUCAACUGUGCAAGCAGGAGGAGCAAAACUUUAUGACCAAACCAUUUAACAUUCCUAAAGCGUUAAUCUGGGAGGCAUUUAAAAAAGUCAAAGAGAAUGGUGGCGCUCCAGGCGUUGAUCAUGAAUCUAUUGAGCAAUUCGAAAAGCAUUUAAAGAACAACCUAUACAAACUAUGGAAUCGACUUUGUUCUGGCAGUUAUUUUCCACCGCCAGUUAAGGCUGUUCCGAUUCCAAAGAAGUCAGGUGGCGUGCGUAUACUAGGUAUUCCAACAGUUGUAGAUCGAGUCGCGCAAACAGCAGUUAAGCUCUUAUUAGAGCCGAAAAUUGAUCCAUUAUUUCAUCCAAACUCAUAUGGAUAUCGUCCGGGGCGUUCUGCCCAUGAUGCAAUUGCGAUAGUGAGGAGACGAAGUUGGGAUUAUGACUGGGUUGUGGAAUUUGAUAUCAAAGGUCUCUUUGAUAACAUCGACCAUGAUUUACUAAUGCGUGCACUCAAGAAACACUGUGAAAUUCCAUGGAUUCUUUUAUAUGUGCAACGUUGGUUAAAAGCACCAAUGCAACACAUAAAUGGCCAUCUUUUAGAAAGGAAUCGCGGCACACCACAAGGUGGUGUUGUGAGUCCUUUAUUGGCGAAUUUAUUUAUGCAUUAUGCUUUUGAUAUGUGGAUUACGAAACAUCUUCAAAGUGUACGGUUCUGCCGUUAUGCAGAUGAUGGCGUAAUUCAUUGUCGGAGUUUAUCUCAAGCCAAACUUGUUUUACAAAAGAUCGAUGCACGAUUUCGUGAAUGUGGUCUCGAAUUGCAUCCAGACAAGACAAAGAUUGUUUAUUGCCAAGAUAUUAAUCGUCGUAAAGCAUAUCCCGAUGUUCAAUUUACUUUUCUCGGGUACACGUUUAGGCCCCGUAAGGCUGUGGACAAGUAUAAAAGAGUUUAUGUAAAUUUCUCUCCUGCAGUCAGUCGUGAUGCACUUAAAGCAAUGCGACAGACUAUUCGGAAAUGGCAUCUACAUCUGAUGUGUAAUCGCGAAUUAAGUGAUUUAUCUGCAAUAUUCAAUCCAAUUCUUCAAGGUUGGCAGCAAUACUAUGGUCGAUUCCAUGGUUCAGCAAUGUCAGCGAUCUGGCAACACAUGAAUGCUUAUCUUAUACGCUGGAUGAGGCGUAAGUAUAAAAACUUGGCCCGUCAUAAAAGACGGGCUAGAUAUGCCUUAGGGCGACUUGCGCGUGAUUUUCCAAAUGCCUUUGUGCACUGGAAAAUGGGAUGUUUACCAUCGGUUGGAUAAUGGGAGCCGGAUGAGCUGAGAGGUUCAUGUCCGGUUCUGCGAGGGGCUAAGGGUGAAAUUCCCUUGGUCUACUCACC